UACGUAGGGUGCAAGCGUUAAUCGGAAUUACUGGGCGUAAAGCGUGCGCAGGCGGUGAUGUAAGACAGAUGUGAAAUCCCCGGGCUCAACCUGGGAACUGCAUUUGUGACUGCAUCGCUGGAGUACGGCAGAGGGGGAUGGAAUUCCGCGUGUAGCAGUGAAAUGAGUAGAUAUGCGGAGGAACACCGAUGGCGAAGGCAAUCCCCUGGGCCUGUACUGACGCUCAUGCACGAAAGCGUGGGGAGCAAACAGG
Molecule: ribosomal RNA, 253 nt
Filed under: uncultured bacterium
Lineage: Bacteria
Description: partial 16S ribosomal RNA
Rfam family: Bacterial small subunit ribosomal RNA
Source: RNAcentral